CAAAAGAUAAGCUAAUUAAGCUAAUGGGCUCAUACCUCAUUUAUGAGAGUAAAUCUCUCUCUUUUUA
Molecule: transfer RNA, 67 nt
Filed under: Cherax punctatus
Lineage: Eukaryota; Metazoa; Arthropoda; Malacostraca; Decapoda; Parastacidae
Description: tRNA-Met
Source: RNAcentral